Molecule: ribosomal RNA, 497 nt
Filed under: uncultured bacterium
Lineage: Bacteria
Description: partial 16S ribosomal RNA
Rfam family: Bacterial small subunit ribosomal RNA
Source: RNAcentral
GAUGAACGCUGGCGGCGUGCCUAAUACAUGCAAGUCGAGCGAACAGACGAGGAGCUUGCUCCUCUGACGUUAGCGGCGGACGGGUGAGUAACACGUGGAUAACCUACCUAUAAGACUGGGAUAACUUCGGGAAACCGGAGCUAAUACCGGAUAAUAUAUUGAACCGCAUGGUUCAAUAGUGAAAGACGGUUUUGCUGUCACUUCUAGAUGGAUCCGCGCCGCAUUAGCUAGUUGGUAAGGUAACGGCUUACCAAGGCAACGAUGCGUAGCCGACGUGAGAGGGGGAUCGGCCACACUGGAGCUGAGACAGGGUCCAGACUACUACGGGAGGCAGCAGUAGGGAAUCUUACGCAGUGGGGGAAAGCUUGACGGAGCAACGCCGCGUGAGUGGUGAAGGUCUUCGGAUCGUAAAACUGUGUUAUUAGGGAAGAACAAAUGUGUAAGUAACUAUGCACGUCUUGACGGUACCGAAUCAGAAAGCCACGGCUAACUACGUG